CCUACGGGUGACAGCAGUGAGGAAUAUUGCUCAAUGGGCGCAAGGCUGAACCAGCCAAGCCGCGUGAAGGACGAAGGUGCCAUGCAUUGUAAACUUCUUUUGUCAAGGGACAAAAUCAGGCUCGAGAGCCUGGCAGAGGGUUAUUGGAGAAAAAGCCUUGGCUAACGCCGUUCCAGCAGCCGCGGUAAUACGGAGGAUUCGAGGGUUAUCCGGAUUUAUUGGGUUUAAAGGGUGCGUAGGCGGGCGGUUAAGGCAGCGGUAAAAGUGCGGGGCUCAACGCCGGCGAGCCGUUGAAACUGGCAGUCUUGAGAUGGCGAGAGGUAUGCGGAAUGCGCAGUGUAGCGGUGAAAUGCUUAGAUAUCGCGCAGAACUCCGAUUGCGAAGGCAGCAUACCGGCGGCGUUCUGACGCUGAGGCACGAAAGCGUGGGUAUCGAACAGGAUUAGAUACCCUAGUAGUC
RNAcentral lists this ribosomal RNA (459 nucleotides) under uncultured bacterium. Its description in RNAcentral is "partial 16S ribosomal RNA". It matches the Rfam family "Bacterial small subunit ribosomal RNA", at positions 338 to 795 of the family's 1533-position model. The record is from RNAcentral.